Non-coding RNA from Osmia lignaria (orchard mason bee), 3397 nucleotides. Lineage: Eukaryota; Metazoa; Arthropoda; Insecta; Hymenoptera; Megachilidae. The record is from RefSeq and is a predicted model, not a curated record.
GGUAGUCAAUGACUAUGAGUACAGUUUGUGAUUUCUGAUGGCGGUAUUGUUGACGUUUACUGCUCUUCGUAGCUAGAAACAGUUUUACAAAUACAAAGUUAAGCACUAAAUAUUCAUUGUCAGGCAGUAAAACUCAAAAUAUAUAAUGAUUUCGACUCGUAUUCUAUAUAUUCCAGUUAUAACUGCUUUCUUUUACUGGAAUAAUUUGUUAUGGUGCUAUGUUUUUUGUUUACUAACCAUAUCCUGUUUCUUUAUGGGAUGUUUAAUUGUACUGUUUAUAAACAUUGCACUUUCACCGAAACACCAAACUGGUGCAGGUACUAUAAAAACAGUUGCAGAAAUGGAUGCAUUUCAUAAUUUAUUAAUGAAAGGAUACAUGGUUAAAACUUCAAAUAAUAAAAGACAUAUGCGUUAUCCAUUAGUGUUCACUCGUAUGGUGGAUGGAGCACUGCAAAACUUGUUGGAUUUAGUUUUUCAAGAUUUUGUUGGUUUGUGGUUAAGCGAAUUGGCUUUCAACUCUGAUCAAAUAAUAGAUAACAUGAAACAAGACAUGUGGGGAGCAAUUCAAAGUCUCCACGAACGUUUAUCAAAAGUGGAUCACACAAAACUGGUUGCUUGUAAUAUAGUGAAUAAAAUCACUUUUCAUUUUGAAAAAAUUAGAAUUGCUCAAACUGCUUCGUCAGAAGGUGAAGAUCCAGUAUUUAUUUUAUCAGCGCAUUUAAUGUCAUCUACAUCUGAGUUAGAUUAUUUAAGAAAAGUUAGCGAAUUGUAUAUUUUAUUUUUGUUACCCCACUGUUAUUCGCUCGCGCCGAUCAAGUAUUUAUUGAGAGAAAUUCUUGCAUGUAAAAUAUUGAAACCAGCAAUAGACUUAAUAACAGAUCCUGAUUAUAUUAAUCAAAAGAUCUUAAUGUAUAUUGAUCAGCAACAAUUAGCGGAAGCAAUGCAUAGGAAAACGUAUGAAUACGCAGAAUCGUUUGAAGAUUUUAUCCGUAUGAUCAAAAGUUCCAAAGAUUUAGAAGUACUUAAACAUAUCAGAUACAAUAUCGUUACGGAGAUUAUGCAAGCUACAACAAUACAAAAUGUUAAAAGAGCGCAAGGUUUAGAUCCAGACAAUAAUGCAUUCGGAAAAUCUGAUGUGAUUCAAGCUCGAAAAUUGAAGAGGUACAUCAGCCAACUAACAUACGCUAAAAAUAUGUGUGAAUGUCAUAUGCAAUCGUUAGGAUGGAAUGGAUAUCCUGUUCAGGCCAGCGACGUUACUGACUCAGCGGUGAUUACAGAAGAAAAGAUUUUACCACUACAGUAUAUUUUAGAUAAUGUAAUAGGUCGACGAUACCUAUCACAAUUUCUUGAACAAGUUGCUAGUCAAGAUUUAAUUGGAUAUUGGGCAGCUGUACAGGAGCUGCGCAAUGCGGAUAAAUCCAAUUGGCAUCAAUUAGGAACAGAAAUCUUUUAUACUUAUAUUACCUCGCCUACUGCUGAAAUAAAGGUUGAUAGAGUUAUUCGCAAGAAGAUGGAAAGUUUUCUGUUAGGUGACAUAGGACCUCAUGUGUUUUAUGAAGUUCAAGAUAACGUUGUCAAAACUUUGGAGGAAAAAUAUUAUCCGUCUUUUGUCGUUAGUGAACAGUAUAAAAAUAUGCAAGAAGCAUUACUCAAUGAAAGAACAGAUGAUUUAACAGAAGAUCAUCGUAUAGUAAAUGGAUCUUUAUCAGAAAAUAUAUCUUUGCUCGUUGGAGAACAUUCAAACUAUGCUCGCAGUAAGUUGGAUCAGCUACAAGAAAAAUUAAAUAACAAAAUGCAAGCUUUGCAAGCGCUCAAGUCUUCGUUGAAACCUGAAUGUAAGGUUUUAAAUUUCUUGGCUAAGGAAGUUGAAUGGUUGCAAAGUGAAAAAAGACAACUAGAGGCACAUUUAACGCACACUGAAAUGUGGGCAGAACAUUUGGGUCAUUGGAGAGCAGAAGUACAAAGCGCAGAAAUGCCAGAUAACGGAGAAUCCCCGCACUUUGUCUUGGUUGUUCAUAUGGCAGAAGAUGAGGAUAAUACGGAAGGCAUAUGUAGCGGUUGGGUAGUGUUACGAAAAUUACAAGAUUUUCAAGUUCUUCACAGAAAGCUUCGUCAACUUUGCUCCAAUGUAAAAACCUUAGAAUUGCCAUCGCAACCAUUAAAAUUCUUUGGAAAAUCCGAUAAAAAUACUUUGGACAAAGCCAAGAUACAGAUACAGAAAUAUUUAAAUUUUAUUUUAGAGGAUGAAAAACUGAAUCAAAGCGAGGCUUUAUAUACAUUUCUUAGUCCGAGUUCUGAACAUCUGAAAUAUGCUCCGCCUUCUCCUAAAAAAUCUCGUUUUUCAUUAUCGACAUUAUUCAAAACAUCUAGCAAUGAACUUCGUGACAAAGAAGACGAAGAAGAUUAUUCAUUAUUGUUAGACGAUACUGACAGUGGUCGAACAGUAACGGAUGGAUUUAUGAAUGUUAAUAAAGAUGCGAUAGCAGAACCUCUUUAUGCACUUUUGGGUGAAAUUUUUGAUUUACGAGGAGUGUUCCGCUGGCUUCGACGUUCUUUAAUCACAUUCGUUCAGAUUACUUAUGGGCGAACCAUUAAUAGACAAAUCAGAGAUACGAUUGCAUGGGUAUUCUCAGAGCCAAUGUUACAUUAUUACAUACAGUUAUUUACAAAAUCUUGGUGGCCAAAUGGUCAUCUAGUGUCAGAGACAGUUAUUCGUACAGACGAGGAGAAAUUAAAAACCCGAGGCGAAGCUCGACGACAAUUUCUCAAUAACAUACCUGAGGUUUUAACAAAUUUGGUGGGAGCGCAAAGUGCUCAACGCGGUGCAAUCAAAAUCUUUGAUUCUUUACAAAAUACUAAUUUAAACAAACAAUUAUUUUAUGAUAUCUUUGAAGUUGUGACGUAUGAAGUAUUUCCAGAAAUACAGCGGAACCAUUAAACUUGUGGAUGCAAUAAAUUUUCAUUCCAUAACAUAAUUGUUUUAAAAAAUUUAACUGAUCAUUCCAUACAUUUUGAAUCGAUGCAUAAGAAGUUGUAUCGUUUCAAUGUCUAUCUACAGAUCAUGGAACAUUUUGCAUUUUUAACUAGGUAUUACGAUAAACUUAUUUUUAUAGAAAACAUAAUAUAGUAAUUAUUUUACACAUCUUUAUUUCAGUAUGUCUUAAAUAUCUUCAUAGAAUGUAUACAUAAUAUAAACAACUUUUUAUAUGUUUUUUUUUUUUUCAUACAUUUAAAAAAUCCGAAGAUAAUUCUAUGAAACAUGACUGAGGUACAGUGAACAUAAAUUUUGUACAGAUAAAGUCAUCUCAUAAGUUAUACUAUUUUAAUGUUUAGAUUAUUUAGUAUUUUGUUGUAUAUAAAAGGAAAAUUUUAAUAUAAAAAAUAUAUUUUCAAAAAA